AUUGAACGCUGGCGGCAGGCCUAACACAUGCAAGUCGAACGAGUGGCGGACGGGUGAGUAAUGUCUGGGAAUCUAGCUUAUGGAGGGGGAUAACUACGGGAAACUGUAGCUAAUACCGCGUACCAUAGGAUGAGCCCACGUGGGAUUAGGUAGUUGGUGAGGUAAAGGCUCACCCAGCCGACGAUCUCUAGCUGGUCUGAGAGGAUGAUCAGCCAAACUGGGACUGAGACACGGCCCAGACUCCUACGGGAGGCAGCAGUGGGGAAUUUUGGACAAUGGGCGCAAGCCUGAUCCAGCCAUGCCGCGUGUCUGAAGAAGGCCUUCGGGUUGUAAAGGACUUUUGUCAGGGAAGCGGUACCUGAAGAAUAAGCACCGGCUAACUACGUGCCAGCCGCCGCGGUAAUAC
This 406-nucleotide ribosomal RNA is filed under the name uncultured bacterium. RNAcentral's name for it is "partial 16S ribosomal RNA". It matches the Rfam family "Bacterial small subunit ribosomal RNA", at positions 30 to 526 of the family's 1533-position model. The record is from RNAcentral.